AACAAAACAUGUUUAUUUAUUGUUUAUAUAGAAUAUAAAUACAAGUGUGACUGGUCAUUUUAUUCAGUUUUGACCACUGAUUCAUGUGAUAUAUAUUUUGUUUAUAUUUAUUUCACAACAUUGUCCAGUUUAUCAGACAAGUUUUGAUGUCAGUUGUAUUAUUCCAGGGUACUGGAUGGACAGCAUUAAUGUUUGCUGCCAGGGUAGGACACCUGGAGAUCUGUAGACUUCUCAUUGAUACAGGAUGUAAGAUCGACACCACACAAUGGGAUGAAUACACAGCUUUACAUUGGGCUGCUAGGUAUGGACAUCUACAGAUCACAAGAUGUCUAGUAGAAGGAGGUGCCAGUCCCUUGGUUACAACACAUGAGGGUCAGACGCCAUACGAUCUAGCAGCAGAAAAUAAAUCUCUCCAGUAUAAAGAAGUGAUGGAAUACUUACAGUCUGUCAUGUCAGAGGAAUCUUCAGGUGUGACUGCUGGUCAAGGGAUGGAAGUUGCAGGUGAUAUGGUUCCAACUGAAAUAAAAUUAAUGGCUGACAAAAGAUCUAUUGAUUUGUACCUCAAAUUACUUGAGUCAGGAUCUGAGAAAAAGAGAGACAUACGUUUAGUAAUAGUUGGGAAGAAAGGUGCAGGAAAAACCUCAUUGAUUAAAAGAUUGUUCUCUGAAGAGAAUACAGAUGUAACUAGUACAAAUGGAAUAGAAAUCCACACAAUAAAAUGCAAAGCAAUGUCUGAUGAUGGCAUAUGGAAUAAAUUAGAUGGAACCAAUAAAGAAACUGAAAUUCAUGCAAGACUCUUGAAACAAUACAAAGGAACAAUUGAAGCAUCAGUACAAGAAGUAACACAUGAAGUUGUUAGGGAAAACACCCUCAUAACCAUUCUGUACAAGCGUAUUGAGGAAUCAAAAGAAUCAGAAACAGUAAGCCAGCAGCCUAAAAAAAGAAUACUUCAAGUAACCACUGAAUCUCAAGUUGAACCUCCAGUAACCUCGCAGCAACGAAACCAAUCAUUAAAACAGGCAAAAUUGGAUAUUGAAACCAUGCUUAAAUCUAAUGUUGAUUUACAUGACAAAGAGGAGUAUGCCACAUUAUUGCUAUGGGAUUUUGCAGGAGAUGAAGAAUUUUACCACACACAUCAAACCUUUUUGUCCUCAGGUGCAAUUUAUCUUGUUGUAACAAAACUCAAUGAAGCUGACGACAAAAAUGCACAAGAUUUAUUCCAGUUAUGGAUGGACUCAAUCCAUUGCUACAGUAGACUGGAAGAGGACAAAAGUAAUUCUGCUGACAGCAAGACAUCAGAUGAUCUUGAUCCACCAGUAGUUAUUGUUGGUACUUGGAAAGAUGCUGUGACCUCUGAUGUAGAAGAGAUUGACGAUGCAUGCCGAGAAAACAUUUUUAAGUUUACGAAGAAUAUGUCAGAAGAUGAACUAAAACAUAUAAGGCAAGAAUACUUCAUUUCCAAUACAGAAGAUGACCCCAGUGUAUUCCAGCAAAUCCGAGAAGACAUCCUAAGCUUAGCUAGAAAAAUAAAAACGUGGAACAAAGUUUACCCCUUAAAAUUUAUUCAGCUGGAAAAACGACUUCAAGAGAAAAAGAAGGAGUUACCAAUUAUUUCCUUUCAUGAAAUUAAGCACAUCUCUACUAAUACACCUAAUCCACUAAAUGAUGAGGAACUCAGAUUGUUCCUGGAAUUUCACCAUGAGAUCAGAGCUUUAGUUUAUUUCAAAGAUCUGUCUUCUUAUAUUAUUUUAGACACACAGUGGUUGUCUGAUGCUUUUAAAUGUAUAGUCACAGCUAAGAAAUUUAGAGCUUUUAGUACUAAAAAUAGAACAAAAUGGGAUGAAUUGUAUAGCAGAGGCAAAUUACAUAGUGAGGUUUUAGACGACAUAUUUAGAAAAAGUGAAAACAUUUUUGCCAAACACAAGGAUCACAUCCUGAACGUAAUGGAGAAAUUUGAUAUCAUUAUACGUCCUAACAUAUCAGAAACUCAAAGAGACGCUGGUGAUGACAAACCUCUCUAUUAUGUACCUUGUAUGAUUAAAUCAGAACCUGAGUGUGAUAUAUACGAAAUGUUUAAUGUUACAGAAAACACAUGUAAUAAGUCCACCUGGUUAUGUUAUAAGUUUAGGUUUCUUCCACCUCAUUUAAUGAAUCAUUUAAUUGCGUCACUGUGCAGGAAAUAUAAAGUUGCAGAAGUUGUCACGAAGGAACAGAAAAGACAAAUUGCUCUCUUCAGAGAUUCAGCUGUCUUUGAGUUACAGAAAACGACAAAAUUAGCAAAAUUGCAUAUACUGAAAUGUCCGAAUUGGAUUCAAAUUCAGGUUUGGCAAUUUGAGAAAGGACGUCAUAUGUACAAAUACAUUGACGACUUUGUGACAGAGGAAAUUGUCAAGAUAAUAAGCACAAGAUUUAAGAUGUCUAAUGUGAAAUUUAAGAAAAAGUGGGAAUGUGGCCAAACAAGACCAGAGUCUGUAACAGGAUUGUUUGACUAUCCUGAAGAUCAGGAUACAAAAUAUUAUUGUGAGACAUGUAGAAUUGCACAUGAGUUCACAGGUGAAUGGUCAGAUCUACAAUAUAGAACAGUUGAUUUGUUACAGAGUUCUGCAAACGUUCCAAUAUCUAAUCCUUACACAGAAAGCUCAAGUCAAAUCCAAACUACGGUUCAAUCCACCAAGGUAUUUGUCCGGGUCCAAGCUGGUGAGAGAGUAUUUUCAAAUGCCAAUGAAGGGGCAACAGGAACAGCCAGUUCGGCAGGGUUCACCAAAGAGGAAAUCAAUUUUACAAAGAUGGGAAUGAUCGUGCUGAAUAUUCUCGCUGAUGCUUUAUAUGACCUCUUAAAACCAGACAAACCAAAUCUAUGUCCAAGAAGCGAUUGUGAUAUAUCACACUUAUACCAGGAGCACUUUAAACUUAAAAAACAUAUUCCAACUAAUGGAUGGGGAGGGAAAUGGCAGAAAAUUCAGGUUACAGACAUAACUGUUGGAGAUGAUAUUGAGCGCAUAAGACUUACAAGGAAUGAACUACAACACUCAACGGCAGCUAAACUUGGAGAUACACGUUUUAACGAGUUAUGUAACAUAUUAAGUGACCUCUUAAUACGGUUCGACCAAUUUAACAAACCACAAAAGCUGUAUACACAUGAGCUUAAGGAUAUUUUGGCUAAUACAAUUUCAGAUGAGGAUGUGAAAUUGGUUAAAAAAGAAAUAUCGGAAAUUACUGUUGAGGUAGAAAUUGAACAACAAAUCAAUGUUCUAACGCAAUAGAGAAAUAAAGUUGUUCUCAUCAUUUGUAUGGCAAACAGUUAUUUUUGUAGUUGAUGAGAAAUACACAUAUAACCAUAGAAACAGAUUUGUAGAAGACCUUGUGCAUAGAAAGCGACCAUCUUUAUAUUUGAUAGCAAUGUAAUGCUACCGAUAAAAGUCAGACUACAUCUUUCUAUUCAUACAAUCAUGUAGAGUAAUUCUCCCGAAUUAUACUUGUCACUGUUGGAGCAUGAUCUGCAUACCUUUUCGGAGCACCUGCGAUUCCCUCCAAGUUUUAGUGGGGUUUUUGGUGCUCAAUCUUUAGUUUUCAAUAUUGUGUUUUGUAUACAGUCCUUGGAUGGUGUAAACUUCCCACUGACACCAUACACCAUUACACCAUUCACCAUACACCAUUACACCCUUGUGCCAUUACACCAUACACGUUACUACUUUGCACCAUACACCUUACACAUUACACCAUAAUGCAAUUUAAUUUCAAAGAAAGCGUGCGACUACAAAAUUAUUUAUUUAUUUUAAAAAACGAAUUUUGAUCACAAUAUUGUAAAUUAAAGUAUAAAAUUAAAAACCAGUUCUUUAUGUCAUUUUGUAAAUUCAUUUUAUUUUUAACCAAAACAUACAUCAAUUUUUGCAUAGUUUUAAAUGUCGUACACCAUUCAUUCACACCAUUCCCGAUCGCACGUUACACCAUUACAUCAUUCCCCUUACACCAUACACCAUAGCACCAUACACCUUCUACCAUUGCACCAUAUGCCAUACACCAUUACACCAUACACGUUUUUUUUGGGAAGUUUACACCAUCCAAGGGCUGUACUGUUGUUUAAUUUUUUGUCUUUUUUAUUUUUUGCAAUGGCGUUGUCAGUUUAUUUUUACUCAUGAAUUUGAAUCUCCAUUUUGGUAUCUUUCGCCUCUCUUUUAUAAAAAAAAAUUGUGAAGAUGAAAAAGUGGACUAGAGAGGAAAUAUUGGAAUAAAAUUGACAACUAGAUCAAUUUUGGUCUGUUAUAGUAAUUUUUUUUAAAUUUAAUCACAUGCAGUAAAAACUGUUGUGUAAAUAUUGCCAAAACUAUAAACAUUGUGCACAUAAAUGAAUAUUUAUUUAUACAAAUGUAUAUAGGAGUAUGAGAAACAUGAAACAUAGAAAAAAAACAUUUAGGAAAUUUUGUGGUAUGUUUUUCUGUUGAUAUAUGAAUUAUUUUUAUGAUUUUGUCCUUCAGGGAAUUAAGUAUAGAUGGUGGUUAGUUUUCGUCAAAUAAAUUCCCAGCUUUUGUAUCUAGCAAUUAACCAUGAAGGAACAAACAUGUGACAAUGUGUGUUUUCUAACCUUUUGAACUUUUUGUCGUUAAGAUAGACUGAUAACCAAUUUAACUCUUAAAAUGUAUGCAAAAAGAUAGCUAUUUGAAUCAACCAUUGGGCAUAAAGCAAACACUCAAUCAAUCAAUGUUUAGGUCAGUUCCCUUCAGGUUAAAGAGGUAAAGCCAAUGUUCCCUUUUCUAUACUAACCGCAAACAAAUUAGAAAAAGUAUGAGUCACCAGUAUUUUUUAAGCUACAGAUUUUGAAUACGCUAUACUAAAACAAACUUUGUUUUAUAGAAAGAAAAACUGAACGAUAGAAUUUUAAGGUAAAAUAUGAGAAGACAUCUCUUAUAAUAAGCUUUCAGAAAAUAAAAAAAACGGGGUCACUGAACUCUGGUUUUUUGAUUCAGCCAUGCUGGAUCUAUGUGAUCACUCUGGUUUUGGAGAUGGUGCAAAAUUCAAUGUUGAAGACAUGUCAUGAAAAUAAUUAUGUGUUUCUAUGACUUGCAGAAACUUUAUACACCCUUUUAAUCAUCAACUGCCAACUUUUAAUAUGUUAUUUGUCUUUAAAUUAAGAAAAGGUUGGGCGAACAACUUCUUUAUUUUAGAUAAACACUUGUAUAUAGUUCCUGUGUAAAUCAAAAUUUAUAUUAAAUUGCCAUUUAUUAAUUAAUGUCACAUGAAUGUGGAAAAUGUGAUUUAUCAAAUUUUAGCCGUUGAUAAGAAUAAUAAAAGUGUUUUAUCAGUAUCUGAUGUUCCUGUAAGCCAUUGAAUAAAAUUUGGUUCAAGAUGUGUAUUCAUAUCAGAGUUGAUUCCCACACUUUUUUAAAUGCUAUUAUUCCCAAUCUUGCAUAAGGCAAAUCAAAUUGUUGGUACAAUACCAGUAUGAUGGACAGCUGCCACGAUUAUCAAACAAUUGCACUCAAAGGUGUAAGUAUUAUUUGGAUUAAACUCCACUCAAAUGCAGUCUUAAUUGACCACAGUUAUAUUAAUAUAUCAUGACAGUUGAUAAUCAUACAGGUAUUGAGGUCAAGAAUUUGUGUAUUCAAUGUAUUACACAUCUUACUGAAUACACCAAAUUUUGACCACAAUAGUUGUAAAAUCAGUGUCAUAAUCUUCUGACAUAAGUUAAUAAUUAAGGUCUAUUUAAGUUACAAUUAUCUCUCUUACAUGUCUUACCUGAGCAUUUUCUGUCACAAAUUUAUUUGUAUAUUCCCCAUUAUAAUGAUAUUUAACAGUAAUUGGAAUAAAUUCAGCAUGAGGUAUUUGUAUAUUCCCCAUUAUAAUGCUAUUUAACAGUAAUUGGAAUAAAUUCAGCAUGAGGUAUUUGUAUAUUCCCCAUUAUAAUGCUAUUUAACAGUAAUUGGAAUAAAUUCAGCAUGAGGUAUUUGUAUAUUCCCCAUUAUAAUGCUAUUUAACAGUAAUUGGAAUAAAUUCAGCAUGAGGUAUUUGUAUAUUCCCCAUUAUAAUGCUAGUUAACAAUAAUUGGAAUAAAUUCAGCAUGAGGUAUUUGUAUAUUCCCCAUUAUAAUGCUAGUUAACAAUAAUUGGAAUAAAUUCAGCAUGAGGUAUUUGUAUAUUCCCCAUUAUAAUGCUAGUUAACAAUAAUUGGAAUAAAUUCAGCAUGAGGUAUUUGUAUAUUCCCCAUUAUAAUGCUAGUUAACAAUAAUUGGAAUAAAUUCAGCAUGAGGUAUUUGUAUAUUCCCCAUUAUAAUGCUAUUUAACAAUAAUUGGAAUAAAUUCAGCAUGAGGUAUUUGUAUAUUCCCCAUUAUAAUGCUAUUUAACAAUAAUUGGAAUAAAUUCAGCAUGAGGUAUUUGUAUAUUCCCCAUUAUAAUGCUAUUUAACAAUAAUUGGAAUAAAUUCAGCAUGAGGUAUUUGUACAUGUGUAUUUGAAUACAGGAAAUGUAUUUUUCCUUAAUGAAAAAUGAACACCAAUUUAGAUAAAAAGCUAAUUAUUUAUUUUUGUUGUUGCUGAGAAAGUGCAUUUUUAAUGGCUCUUUUUGGAAAUUAUUAAGCCAAUUAUUAUUAAUGGCAUAUAAAAAGUAUGCUACAGUCAUUUGAAGAUUUCCCUUAACAUUCUUGUCCAAAAUCAUUGAGUUUCAAAUGUUUCGAAAAAAAGAUAUAAAAAAAUCUGACAGUGUCUUGAAUUGAAAUACCAAAAUAAUUUGCAUUAAUCUUUUGGCAAUAGAAUGAAAAUUUUACAGUGAGAUUAUGGAAAUGAAGAUAAUAAAAUAAUUAUUGAAAGUGUGGUCAGAAAAAAAUGCCAGACUAGCUACAAAAUUGGCUGAAUCACAACAUCCAUGAUGCUUUGAUUUUUGUGUUUUUUUCUAUUAAACAAACUGGGUAAAUUUAAUUAACGUUUACAACAUAUUCCUUUUAUAAAAGUUAGAAUAUAUGAGUUCUUACCCUUUAUAUGGCUAGGUUGAAAUUUUUUUUAUUGUAUUUCUUAAAGCAGUAUAAGAUAAAACACAUAUCUUUUUUUCAUUAAGAUGAAAAGACUUACAAAUGAACUACAUUUACAUUCCACUCUAAUUUGCACAAUUCAUUAAAAAUCUAUACCGAUUGUUAUCUAUUAUUUUACAAUCCAAGAUGGGGGAAUACUCCCGAUCUACCUAAAAGCGAGUGAAUUUAAAUUGACCACCGUAGAUUUGGACUCCCACUUUAAAAACAUUGAAUGCUUGAUCAGGGCAGACAUGUUGCUUAAGAACAGGCCGCAUUGGUUUUCUCUCAAUACAAAGUAUCAAAUUAAAUAAAAAUUUGGAAUUUCACAAGUUUUUAAAGGACAAUACAUAGGACAAUAUCUGAUAAGAAAAAAAUGAAUAUUUUCUUCUUUAUUUUUGAAAAAAAAAAAAAAAAAAUUUGUCCGAAUGAAUCAUAUGUUUUUAGUGUUUAUGUAUAUUUAGACAUUUAUGAUUUUGUGACAUGCUCAGAAAUACAACAUGCGAGUUGUUAGAAUCUCAAGUUGCCCACAUCAGGCUGUGAUACUGUUAAAUUUAGUAAAAGACUUCUUUUGAAUUUGACCAGGUGAUGCAUAAAUUAAGGAGAAAUUGUCCAUAUCUCUUAAUCGGACUGAUUGGUUUUUGUUUGCUAAACGUCAAGUGGCAAAUAUAUCAUACAUAUUCAGUACGAGAACAAAUUAACAAUGAUUUUAAAAGAUAUGAAACUUAAAGGAGGUAGGAUAUAUCAAUUAAUUAAAAACAAUAAAAUCAAAAAGAAGAACGACAGACAGACAACAAAAUACUACACAGGAAACAAAUUCAAAUAAUAUGAAUAUAACCCCUACCAACAUGAUUUUUUUUAACAUGCAGAUUCCAAGGUAACGGAACGCAUAAAAACAAAUCCCCCUACCUGGACGCAUAUUUUGGCUUCAAGGCGACCAGUCCGUGCUCUUACACCUGACUAGACAACUAAGAAUGAUUGCAUAUUAGGCUUGACUUUUAUCCGGGAAGGAUUCAAAACUUUCUUAUUUAGCGUAUCAAUUACGAUUUUGCAAAUUGUCGGUCGCCUAUCAUUUUGAAUCCCAUGAUUAAAGUUAAUUGAACAGUGUUUGGUGAUACUGGCUAUUCCUAUAUUAUGACAGACCAGCUUGUUCCUAACUCAGAUUGGCCUAUGUCUUCAGUACUUAUGCGCCUACAUAUCGAAUUUAGACCAGAAUGGCAUUACAUUAUAACUUAUGGUAAAUUCACCAAAAUCUUUAAAUUAUAGAAUUUUUAAAGAAAAUUUUGAGUUUAAGAAUGGUCUUAAUAGAAACAGGUCGGUGGAAUGUUGAAGUAUAUGUUUCUAAUGCAAUAUUAACUAUUUCGGUGUUGAAAACCAUAUUCUAGAAUGAUAAACAUUUGCAAUAAAUAAGAAAAAGCUAACGGAUGAAAAUGUAUUGCAAAGACCAAAUAUUGUGAAAUGCAAAGAAAUUAUGAGUUGAACAGGAAAGUUUAAAUAAUUAAAAAAAUGGUAGAUUUAUAUGAUUAAUAAAUAAAUCAGUUGUUUUCAAGAACAUAACAACACUUCCCCUUCUGGUUUAUAUAGUACAUAUAUGUGAGUUUUGGUAUUUACAGAUAAUUCUUGUUUAUAUUGUACAUAUAUGUGAGUUUUGGUAUUUACAGAUAAUUCUUGUUUAUAUUGUACAUAUAUGUGAGCUAAUGUGUUUACUGAUAAUUUUUGUAUGUAUUGUACAUAUAUGAGAUUUUUGGUGUUUGCAUGUAAUUCUUGUUUAUAUUGUACAUAUAUGUGAGUUUUGGUGUUUACUUAUAAUUCUUGUAUAUAUUAUACAUGUAUGUGAGCUUUAGUGUUUACUUAUGAAUUCUUGUUUAUAUUGUACAAAUAUGUGAAAUUUGGUGUUUACUUAUAUAUUUUUGGUUAUAUUGUA
Mytilus californianus (California mussel) is the source of this 8918-nucleotide RNA transcript. RefSeq lists it as uncharacterized. The record is from RefSeq and is a predicted model, not a curated record. The transcript has 18 exons. NCBI's taxonomy places the organism in Eukaryota, Metazoa, Mollusca, Bivalvia, Mytilida, Mytilidae.